UGCCAGCCGCCGCGGUAAUACGGAGGGUGCAAGCGUUAUCCGGAUUUAUUGGGUUUAAAGGGUCCGUAGGCGGAUCAUUAAGUCAGUGGUGAAAGCCGGCAGCUCAACUGUCGAACUGCCAUUGAUACUGACGGUCUUGAAUAUUGUUGAAGUUGGCGGAAUAGGUCAUGUAGCGGUGAAAUGCUUAGAUAUGACCUAGCACACCGAUUGCGAAGGCAGCCAACUAAGCAGUUAUUGACGCUGAGGGACGAAAGCGUGGGGAGCGAACAGGAUUAGAUA
This 279-nucleotide ribosomal RNA is filed under the name uncultured bacterium. RNAcentral's name for it is "partial 16S ribosomal RNA". It matches the Rfam family "Bacterial small subunit ribosomal RNA", at positions 506 to 784 of the family's 1533-position model. The record is from RNAcentral.